CUGAAAAACUAUUGAGUUUUUUUAAUAUCCCUUUGUUUACCUUCCCUGUUGCUUCCACCAGAGGAAGUUCUCUUCCACUGGUGGCAAGAUUCUAUAAACAAAAAUUUUGUGAAUUAAAUGUCUGAUAAAAGUGGAAAAAUAGAAAUA
Molecule: unclassified non-coding RNA, 147 nt
Filed under: uncultured fungus
Lineage: Eukaryota; Fungi
Description: sequence contains ITS1
Source: RNAcentral